UCCUCCUGACACGCACAUGCUCUUCAACAGCUCCCUAAAAUGGACAAACAUCAAAGGGUUAAAGAUCACACUUGCCAAAUCGGAAUUAAACUGUGCUAAUAUAGGGAACUGAGGACAACUCCUCCAACAAGGAGGAAAGGCUGCUGACCCCUGAUGCGCCAGCAUGGGU
RNAcentral lists this long non-coding RNA (169 nucleotides) under Anas platyrhynchos platyrhynchos (common mallard). RNAcentral describes it as "lncRNA (ENSAPLG00000023727.1)". Lineage: Eukaryota; Metazoa; Chordata; Aves; Anseriformes; Anatidae. The record is from RNAcentral.